RNAcentral lists this unclassified non-coding RNA (410 nucleotides) under Hevea brasiliensis (rubber tree). The record is from RNAcentral. Lineage: Eukaryota; Viridiplantae; Streptophyta; Magnoliopsida; Malpighiales; Euphorbiaceae.
UAAUCAUGCAAACCAAGAGUCUUUACAUCAACAGGAGUAUUAAACACCCAACCAUGCCUAUGUUUCAUCAAUUUCUCAAGCAAAGCAUUACAAUUCUUGAAAACCUUGGAACCCGUCCCAAACCCAAAUCCCAAUUCCCCUCCCCCUUGCUUCUUUCCAUUCAAUUUCGACUUCUUGUUACUCUCUGCUGGUGGAAACUUGUCUUUUGCUAGCAAAAACUCUGAAUUCCUAUAAAACUGAUUUGCCUUUGGUGUCCUUUUCUCUUUCUCCACGGUCUGUCUCACCAGGACCCUGGCUAUUCUCCAACACUGAUAUGCUAAGCUGAUUCAAAGGCCUAGACUGCCUAGGAGUAGGAGUAAGAAUAGGAGUAGUAAUCUCACGAGGAGCACCCACUGAGCCCACCUCCGAAU